Molecule: unclassified non-coding RNA, 374 nt
Filed under: uncultured bacterium
Lineage: Bacteria
Description: contains 16S-23S intergenic spacer region
Source: RNAcentral
UCUACGGUUACGCAGCAGUGUUCUUAAAGUACAAUUUAUUAAAAAUUUAGUAGUCAAGAAAAAGGGUUACGCUCGUUAUAUGAAUCCAAUCAACCACUUUACAGCACGAGCUGACGGCAGCCAUGCAACACCUGUAUUUAAUCAAGAAUUAAUUAAGUGUAAAAAAUUCGUUAAAUAUGCAAAAGCUGGUAAGAUUUUUUGCGGAGUAUCUAAUUAACAUACAUGCUCCACCGCUUGUAAAUACUCCCGUCAAUCUUCUUGAGUUUCAAUCUUGCGAUCGUAAUCCCCAGGCGGAAUAUUUAACGCGUUAGCUUUGGUAACUGAAUUUUUUUAAAAUCCAAUUCAUAAUAUUCAUAGUUUGCAGUAUGGACUAC